CAAACAGAUGAACUCAUUGAUGGGCAGACAGAGACUGUGCUGAUUGUCAUGUUCUGUUGUG
Molecule: non-coding RNA, 61 nt
Organism: Otolemur garnettii (small-eared galago)
Lineage: Eukaryota; Metazoa; Chordata; Mammalia; Primates; Galagidae
Source: Rfam